UCACACGCUGAGUGAGUAUUUUUCGGAGUAUUUGCUGUCAUACAAACGGGAAUGGACGAAGAAACCUUCAUUUUCGCCGAUUCGAAGAGACCGUGAAACUCUCGCUCGACCGUUCGCAGGGGGAGGACGUCGGCCGAUUUCCUAUCAGAGGGUAAAGCCAAGCCGGAAGCAAGGAAACGAGUUCGGUUUUCGUUCAACUGAAAAAAGCAAAAGCUGUCAGCGAUGUCUCUCCGCUUUAUACUAGUGGCAGUUUGCCUCUUCGUCCUCUUUUACUCUGCUGCCAGCGUGCCCUUCCCCGACUGCCCAGAAGGGUGCCCGGCUGACUGUCCGACACGAUGGUUUGCCGACCAAGACCGCUCCUGUCUGAAAUGCGAGUGCGACCCCAACAGCACAGGGUCGCCUUGGGACUAGCUUCCCCCCUGCUUAAAUGCUUUUGGAAAGUGACGUUGCCUGUUCCCUUGAAAAUGCUGUUUUUUUCAAGUUUAAGCCUUUUCUUUCUUUCUUUCUUUUUUCUUUUUUGGCUUUUGGGCGAUCAUCGUUGAUUUUGUAUUUUGAUAGAAAAUGUUUGUGAUUUUGGUGUGUUUUUCUUUUUAAGCUUUUGUUUAAAGCGGUCAUUAUUGAUCGUGUAUAUUGACCUGAAAAUUAUUGUUUUUGUCGAUUUUUCCCCUCUCUUUUUUCACCAUACAAUAUUUAUAUUGUAUGAUGCUGUAUUUUGUAAAAUUACCAUCAUUUUAAGGGUUGGAAUGUGUGAUAUUUACUGGAUACUUAUUGAAAUGUUUGUUUAAAGCACCGUAGUGUUUAUUCUUAAGAGUUCGAGGGAAGAAAGAGCACGAGCUUACAACCUUUGUUUGUUAAAAUGAACUUUUAAAACCAUCCAAGGUAUACGCGCUUAAAUAUAUAUCCCUGUAAUCUUUUUUUGAAAUGCCGGAUGCUAUAUGUCAUUAAAUUUUGAAGCGCUGGUUAAUAAAUUAUAUAAAGCAAAA
This is a long non-coding RNA of Penaeus monodon (black tiger shrimp), 983 nucleotides long. RefSeq lists it as uncharacterized. The transcript has 3 exons. NCBI's taxonomy places the organism in Eukaryota, Metazoa, Arthropoda, Malacostraca, Decapoda, Penaeidae. The record is from RefSeq and is a predicted model, not a curated record.